This 705-nucleotide ribosomal RNA is filed under the name Agaricus sp. RNAcentral describes it as "partial large subunit ribosomal RNA". It matches the Rfam family "Eukaryotic large subunit ribosomal RNA", at positions 220 to 918 of the family's 3401-position model. The record is from RNAcentral. Lineage: Eukaryota; Fungi; Basidiomycota; Agaricomycetes; Agaricales; Agaricaceae.
UCUUUGACACGGACUACCAGUGCACUGUGGUAUGCUCUCAAAGAGUCGAGUUGUUUGGGAAUGCAGCUCAAAAUGGGUGGUAAAUUCCAUCUAAAGCUAAAUAUUGGCGAGAGACCGAUAGCGAACAAGUACCGUGAGGGAAAGAUGAAAAGAACUUUGGAAAGAGAGUUAAACAGUACGUGAAAUUGCUGAAAGGGAAACGCUUGAAGUCAGUCGCGUUGGCCAGGGAUCAGCCUUGCUUUUGCAUGGUGUACUUUCUGGUUGACGGGUCAGCAUCAAUUUUGACCACUGGAAAAAGGCCUGGGGAAUGUGGCAGCUUCGGCUGUGUUAUAGCCCCUAGUUGUAUACAGUGGUUGGGAUUGAGGAACUCAGCACGCCGCAAGGCCGGGUUUCGACCACGUUCGUGCUUAGGAUGCUGGCAUAAUGGCUUUAAGCGACCCGUCUUGAAACACGGACCAAGGAGUCUAACAUGCCUGCGAGUAUUUGGGUGGAAAACCCAAGUGCGUAAUGAAAGUGAAAGUUGAGAUCCCUGUCGUGGGGAGCAUCGACGCCCGGACCAGAACUUUUGGGACGGAUCCGCGGUGGAGCAUGUAUGUUGGGACCCGAAAGAUGGUGAACUAUGCCUGAAUAGGGUGAAGCCAGAGGAAACUCUGGUGGAGGCUCGUAGCGAUUCUGACGUGCAAAUCGAUCGUCAAAUUUGGGUAU